UGAUACUGUCCCUUCUGGUCCCGAUAAUCAACCCCAAUUGGUGUUGUCUUGGACCUGCAAUAUGAAGUAGAUGCUAAUAGUACAGCAUUUGCAUAAUUGAGAAGAUCAGCUGCAAUGUGUCUUUUCCCUGUAACAUCAAAAGUUGAGCCACCAAUCUUUUUACCCAACAAGUGAUCCAAACUAUACCCAUUAUAGGGAUUAACCCCAACCUCGAAGAACCAAUCUCUAACAGCGGACUGCCAGUUCCUAAGAUCAGGCCUAAACACAAUUGCCUUCUCAACCCAGUCA
RNAcentral lists this unclassified non-coding RNA (288 nucleotides) under Hevea brasiliensis (rubber tree). The record is from RNAcentral. Lineage: Eukaryota; Viridiplantae; Streptophyta; Magnoliopsida; Malpighiales; Euphorbiaceae.